Molecule: ribosomal RNA, 462 nt
Filed under: uncultured bacterium
Lineage: Bacteria
Description: partial 16S ribosomal RNA
Rfam family: Bacterial small subunit ribosomal RNA
Source: RNAcentral
GACGAACGCUGGCGGCGUGCUUAACACAUGCAAGUCGAACGGAAAGGCCCUGCUUGCAGGGUACUCGAGUGGCGAACGGGUGAGUAACACGUGGGUGAUCUGCCCUGCACUUCGGGAUAAGCCUGGGAAACUGGGUCUAAUACCGGAUAGGAGCCAUUUUUAGUGUGAUGGUUGGAAAGUUUUUUGGGUGUAGGAUGAGCUCGCGGCCUAUCAGCUUGUUGGUGGGGUAAUGGCCUACCAAGGCGGCGACGGGUAGCCGGCCUGAGAGGGUGGACGGCCACAUUGGGAGAGAGAUAGGGCCGAGACUCCUGGGGGGGAGAGGAGGGGGAAAUAUUGCAAAGGGGGGGCAAGCCUGGUGCCGCGGCGGCGCGUGGGGGAUGGGGGCCUGCGGGUUGAAAACCCUUUGCGCGAGAGGAGAAGUUUUUUGUGGCGAUGCGUAGAUAAGAACCGCCGAAUAACGUC